UGCCUACGGGACGCAGCAGUGGGGAAUAUUGCACAAUGGGGGGAACCCUGAUGCAGCGACGCCGCGUGAGUGAAGAAGUAUUUCGGUAUGUAAAGCUCUAUCAGCAGGGAAGAAAAUGACGGUACCUGACUAAGAAGCCCCGGCUAACUACGUGCCAGCAGCCGCGGUAAUACGUAGGGGGCAAGCGUUAUCCGGAUUUACUGGGUGUAAAGGGAGCGUAGACGGCAGAGCAAGUCUGAAGUGAAAGCCCGCGGCCCAACU
This 261-nucleotide ribosomal RNA is filed under the name uncultured bacterium. RNAcentral's name for it is "partial 16S ribosomal RNA". It matches the Rfam family "Bacterial small subunit ribosomal RNA", at positions 335 to 614 of the family's 1533-position model. The record is from RNAcentral.